Molecule: ribosomal RNA, 280 nt
Filed under: uncultured bacterium
Lineage: Bacteria
Description: partial 16S ribosomal RNA
Rfam family: Bacterial small subunit ribosomal RNA
Source: RNAcentral
UGCCAGCCGCCGCGGUAACACGGGGGGCGCAAGCGUUAUUCGAGAAUCACUGGGCGUAAAGAGCGCGUAGGCGGCCUAUCAAGUUGGGAGUGAAAUCCCGGAGCUCAACUCCGGAACUGCUCUCAAAACUGGUAGGCUAGAGAUCGAUAGGGGAUGAUGGAAUUCUUAGUGUAGAGGUGAAAUUCUUAGAUAUUAGGAGGAACACCGGAGGCGAAGGCGAUCAUCUGGGUCGAUACUGACGCUAAGGCGCGAAAGCGUGGGGAGCAAACAGGAUUAGAUA